Molecule: ribosomal RNA, 373 nt
Filed under: uncultured bacterium
Lineage: Bacteria
Description: bacterial SSU rRNA
Rfam family: Bacterial small subunit ribosomal RNA
Source: RNAcentral
UUUCCAGAGAUGGAUUGGUGCCUUCGGGAACUGUGAGACAGGUGCUGCAUGGCUGUCGUCAGCUCGUGUUGUGAAAUGUUGGGUUAAGUCCCGCAACGAGCGCAACCCUUAUCCUUUGUUGCCAGCGGUUAGGCCGGGAACUCAAAGGAGACUGCCAGUGAUAAACUGGAGGAAGGUGGGGAUGACGUCAAGUCAUCAUGGCCCUUACGACCAGGGCUACACACGUGCUACAAUGGCGCAUACAAAGAGAAGCGACCUCGCGAGAGCAAGCGGACCUCAUAAAGUGCGUCGUAGUCCGGAUUGGAGUCUGCAACUCGACUCCAUGAAGUCGGAAUCGCUAGUAAUCGUGGAUCAGAAUGCCACGGUGAAUACG